Molecule: long non-coding RNA, 3428 nt
Organism: Oncorhynchus tshawytscha (Chinook salmon)
Lineage: Eukaryota; Metazoa; Chordata; Actinopteri; Salmoniformes; Salmonidae
Exons: 3
Source: RefSeq, a predicted model, not a curated record
AGUAAGCACACUACCCGAUAAUAGACACAUUGAUAAAUACUUGGGGUGAAACGGUAUGUCUAUUCGUAUUGAACCGUUCUGUACAGGGUGCACGGUUCGGUACGCACUGCGAACCGAACAAUACAUGAAUCAUAUUAUAGCUAGGAAAAUAUAUAUCAUUGUAAAAAAUAUAUUAUUGCAUAAACCAAUAGCGUAUAAAUUAACGUGGGAAAAAUAUCCACAUAGUAAUAAAGUUGUUAUAGUUGUCGGCAGCUCAGCUCAUUAGUUAUUUCACUCCAGCGAGAACAGAGCUGAGAGACCGUCGUAGCAGCAUUUCGUUUAUGAAGGAAUUAGCAGCUAGCUAAAUGCAAAGGAGCAACAUGGCAAGCUUUGGCGAGCCAGAACUAGAAGACGCCCCAGUAUCAUGCAUGUCUGCCGUCUGGGAACAUUUCAGGUUCCCUGUAAACAAUAACGGGGAUUUCCGACGAGUGGUGGAUAAAACUUCUACAACAUGUAGGCUCUGUUCAUUACUGAUAGCCUAUUAGAGUGGUGGAUAAAACUUCUACAACAUGUAGGUUCUGUUCAUUACUGAUAGCCUAUUAGAGUGGUGGAUAAAACUUCUACAACAUGUAGGUUCUGUUCAUUACUGAUAGCCUAUUAGAGUGGUGGAUAAAACUUCUACAACAUGUAGGUUCUGUUCAUUACUGAUAGCCUAUUAGAGUGGUGGAUAAAACUUCUACAACAUGUAGGUUCUGUUCAUUACUGAUAGCCUAUUAGAGUGGUGGAUAAAACUUCUACAACAUGUAGGUUCUGUUCAUUGCCGAUAGCAUAUUCGAGUGGCAAUACGAGUAACAUGACUACUCAUUUGGGCCGACAUCACCCCGAAAUGCCAAUCGGUGGGACUAGGCGAAAAAAAAUAAACGGCAACCACUUCUCCCCACACAGCCUCUGGCAACAAUAUGCGUCCGGUAGGGCUAAAGAAAUCAAGCAAAAUUCAUAGCGGCAGAUAUGAUACCCUUCUCUGUGGUAGAGAAUGCGGGGUUCAGAAACAUGUUUAAAUUGGUCGAGCCGCGCUUCACUAUUCCUUCCCCGUACACAUUUUGCCCAGACAUGAAUACCUGUCCUAUACAAAAAAAACACCAAAAAAAACAACUUGAGAGAGAGUUGUCAGAAACGCUGUCUGUUACUCUAACAACAGACAAUUGGACGUCUAGAGCUAUCUUACUGUAACGGCUAAUUUCAUUAUGGCAUAGUGAGAGAUAAAAAGCCACGUCCUUUAAACACGUCCUCUUGAGAGUAGUCACACCAGGGAAAACUUUGGGGAAGAGCUAAGGGAAGUAGUUGCAGUGUGGAUGUUGGAGAGGGAUAGUGAUUCCUGUGACCACUGACAAAGCUAGAAAUAUUGUAAAUACAGUUGCACUAGCUGGAUUGAGGCCACAAAUAGGAUGCUUUGCUCACAUUAUUAAUCUAGCAUCUCAAAAAGCAGUAUCACCUCCUGUUUUCAAGACAAAACAGGAGCUGUUGGAGCUGCCAAACUACAAACUAAUCCAAGAUGCCACUACUUGAUGGAAUUCAAGCCAUGACAUGGUUGAGAGAUACCUUGAGCAGAAAGUCACAGUGUAUUCUACACUGACUGAUCAAGCUGUGAGGAAGAAUGUCAAAGAUAUUGUGACUUUGUUUGAAAAUGACCUAAGACUAGCAGAGGAAGUUAUCAAAGUGUGCCUCUCAAAACAGUCACAACACUUAUAUGCACUGAGAGCAUUCCAUCAGUUUCCGGUCUAUGAAAACAAUGAUCCUGAAAUCAAUGGUGGCAUCUGAUGAAGAUGAACCCGCAGUAAGGGAUGUCAAGACUGCUAUCAGAGUUAACCUGGAGCCUAGAUAUGCUGACCCUGGUGUCCAAGACUUCUUACACAAGAGCACCGCUUUGCUGCUCGUCUGAGAGUCUACAAUGAACUCACAGCAGAGAUGGUGACCAAUAUACAACAGGUAUUGUAUUUAUUUUGUUAAUGUGACAUUUAUUAUUUUAUUAAUUAGUGAUUUUACAAUUAAUUAUAAAGUAGUAAUUGUCAUAGUUGACGCAAGAGCACAAAAAAGAGCUUUGAGGACACCUCACCCUGGGUGAACUUGAUGGAAGAUUUGGGUUUAGAUGAUGCAUAGACACAGCCACCAGAAGCACUGCAACUAAUAAUAGCACUGCCACCUCACGACACAACCACCCGAAGCACAGCAACUAGCAACUCGCACUGAAGUGCCGCUUUAAAAAUAAAAUUCAGAGCAUGGGCUGACUUGGUCCUGGAGAAAGAGUAUAUAAGAAGCAUGCUUUCAAUGGAAAGGCAUGAUAGUGCUACUUGACUUUUCACCGACAGAUAGCUCGUGAUACUUCAACUAUCAUCAACCUAAAAGGUAAAUAUCUGACUUUCAUACUCUAGAACAAUUGUAUCUCUUGACUUCUGAUUUCUGAAUGAGACAUACUGAGACUGCUACCCAGUACACUCCUUGUGCUGAAUACAUCUACCUCCUAAACUGAGUGGAUAAAUAGCAACAGUGGUGUUACAAAGGGUCUUGAUCUCGAACCGUUCUCUUCACUAAUCACUAAAUCAUAGUACAAACUUCUAGUAGGAGAAACAGAUACUGAGUGAUUGGAUAAGCCUCUAGAACAAUUGUGAGUGGAAGAACAUACUCUUUGGAGACCAACCAGGUCAACCUACACUAAGGUAAUUAACCGCUUGUUGUAAUACAUAUAUAAGGUAAUUAACAGCUUGUUGUAAUACAUAUAUAAGGCAUUAAUAGUAGUAAGUGUUUUGACGAUGUUUGAUGUUAUAGAUUAAGGACCAGAAAGAAACUGUAAUAACGUGUACAACUGUGUGAACUGCAAACAUUGAAUAAAAAGUAGAAACUAGACCCAAAACCCUAGGGGAGAGAACAGCUCUGACACUCCCAAUCUAGGGAAACAAGUCUAGUUUCUACACUAAAGACAAUAUGAUGGUUUGGACAGAAUAAUCAUUUUAUUGUAACAGGUAUCCUCUAUAUUAAUACUCAAGUAGUAUUAGUCGACGGACAUAGACUGUAACUCGUAACCAAGGUAUAGCUUACGUGAGUCUGGAUAUAAGAGCAUACAAAGGGAAAGUAAAGCAAGAGGUACUCUAAGUCUGAUUGAUAUUAUCUAAGAUAAUCCCGAAACCAGCCUAACGGCAUCACACAAGGCUGAUCUCUGAAUAAAGGGCAGGAUACAUAACCAGGUCAGUCCGGCGGAUCUAACAGUCACCUGUUAGCCGGGUGACAUUAGAACUUGAGUGAGAAGACUUGUAUCAAUCUCGACGGGGGUACCUUAACGGUCCUAUAGCAAAAUCCCCUACCGCGACACAGUGUCUGAUAUAUAUAUAUAUUUCUAACAACAAAUCAUAUUUUGAAAGCCACUUCAGAGAUAGUAAUUCUCAUCUAAUUUAAUU